Sphaeramia orbicularis (orbiculate cardinalfish) is the source of this 378-nucleotide long non-coding RNA. RefSeq lists it as uncharacterized. The transcript has 4 exons. Lineage: Eukaryota; Metazoa; Chordata; Actinopteri; Kurtiformes; Apogonidae. The record is from RefSeq and is a predicted model, not a curated record.
UCAGAGCUUUCAGAUGGUUUAUUUUAGCCAUGGUGCGAUGAUGUGCCAGGAGACUGGAACAGGGAAAACACAGCAACUCUAAAACGCAAAUGGAUGCUCAAACAAUCUGAGGACACAUUUGACAUCAUGGCCCGCUAUUACGGCUUCCACAAAGGUACAAUUUGAGGAUGCUGACAAAUGCCUCACCACUCUGUACUUCAGAAUUCUGUUGGGAAUGGUAAUCGGCUGUCAGGACCAGGCUUCUCAGAUUAUCCUGGGCUGAGCGCCUCCAGCAUGCUGUGAUGUCAGCUUUUGUAGGCACAACACACAGCAGUUCCCCCCCUGGAGGAACCUCACAUUGGAGUCCAUGUGAACUCUGAGUAGUGUCUGGAUUUGGGG